UACAAGGAAGUGAAAUAUCACAUAUACUAACGUUAGUACAUAGUCCAUAUGGCAAAAUUUCCCAAAAGGUAUCGGGUGGUUACCUGAAAAAGAUUAGGCAAGAAGCUCUCUGGUUUAGGCAACUGUUGAGCAACGACGAUGUAAAAGAGUCCCAUCACUCCGGUAUGACCAACGGCACUACUGUAAUUAAACUCCACAUUCAGCGUCUCUCCAUAGCUCACUUCCACUGGAUCAGUAGGAUAACAAGUCGACAUUCCAACAAUGUAACCAGCUUCAUUUCCAGGUUCAACUCCAUUGCCAUACUUCGGCAUCGAAGUACAUAUUCCUUCACCGUUCUGUUCCACAACACAUGAGUGAAGAGUCUCAAUCCAAUACAAAUUUGUUUUCAAUCUUUUCAUUUUUGCAAUAGCCUAAACUACCUCUCGAUAUAGAGCAGCACCGAUACCACCCAAGUGCUGGUGUCCCACGCCGUAAAUGAUAUACCCAUUAAAUGGCAUCAUAAAGCUGUUUUUCUUAACAUCAAUGCAUCCAUCGCCAUUGGUUUUGCACUGUUUCACUUCGUAUUCCACCUGAACAAGCACAUAGACCAAGAAAUUAUUAGAAAUUGAAGUCAGAUUUAACAGAAUUAAGGUAGUUCUUACUGACAUGGCAAUGAUGUUCUUGGCUAUCUCCUAUUGAUCCCUCUGGUUUUUUCCAAGAAUCCGUAACAUCGAGAACAUAAACUUUAGCGGGCAAAACCUUGUUGUCCCAAUCAACCCAUCUCACGGUAUACUUCAAAUACAGAUUUCUUGUUUUCUCCCCAUUGUCAAAUCCGCUUUUCACCCGACAUUGAGUCUUAUCAUAGCAGCAGUAUAGACCUCCUUUGUAGCCGGGUCCUAUAGCUCGACCGUACUCAUCAAUGGUUACAUUAUACAGAUCACACAGACAUUCUAUGCAUCCUGUCCUGUCCUCCACACCUCUGGUGUCUAUUGCGUGAACGUUAAGAAGCCAUUUGAAUUCAUAGCCAUCAGGUCUUUCCUCAGGAUUAUCGACUUCAAUCGCAUAAGGAUCAGGAAGAUACGUCGAGGUAUUGCGGGUUUCUGAUCCUGAACCAAAGAAAUAUAAGAGUGAAUUCGUGCACAGCCCUCCGUUUCUUACAGGAAUAGUAUCUGAUCCCGAAUCAGGAUUGCUUUCGGGAUCUUGCCUUUGAAACCCAUCAUUCCUAAACAUUUCUUGCUGUAGAAACUUCGAACCUAUACGGGCAUAGUAAGGUCUGAGCAACCAGUGGUGCAGAUAUGUCUCGUGUAGAGGGACGGGGUCGCCUGCUUCGUCAACCACUUCAGCGUCGAAACUCUUGAGGCCGAUAUGCCCUCUUGGGAAAUCGAUGUCGGAUAAGAAAGAAUUUGAAACUGAUCCUGGAUUCAUCACUAGUUUUGGUGAGAAAAAGACUUCAGAUUUUAUCUUUUUCUCGGUUCCUAGAAAGCCUUGGCUCGGUGAUAUGAUGGUUAAUGCGAACAGAGCAAGAACUAAAAACAAGAUCAAUGACCUCCUGUGGUAACGAGCCAUUAUCUCCUGUUUCAAUAUUAUAUAUAUAGAUAGAGGUAAGGAGUGUGGUUGAAGUACAUGGUUGCUUGUUAGAAAAAUCUAAAAUUGAAAAACUUUUCAGCAACCAAUGACUCAAAAACAGAUAUAAUAUGUGAAGCUACUAUAUAUUUCAUAUCAUCCUGAAGUACAAGUAUAAACUAAAGUUGAAACCUGGUUUUAGAUGAUCCAUAAACAUAAGUGUAGACAUUUUUAAAAAUUCGAAUGUAUCUUAUAUAUAUGGUUUCCAGUUAGAUGUUCUACAACCCAAAAAAUUGUUUGUGAAACCAAAAACAAGAGAUUAUUGGAUUGCUAAACCAACUAGAGAGAAACAAAGAAAGAGUGAGAGAAGAGGGGUUUACGUGGGUUAACAGAGAUGACGUUUCCCGCUUCGAAUGAACGAAGAAGAAGGAUUCGAGAGUAAUCUAAUUUAUUAUGUGAAUUAUGUACGAAAAGCAAAGAGACAAGAGCUUAGUUGUAAUCUGGCACGUGUCGUCGUCACUCUCGUCAUUCAGUGACAGGGUACGUACGGUUUCACUUCCCACUUUAUCUCCUGUUUCAAGUUUAUAUAUAAUAGUCCUUUGGGAGAUAUUUUUGUUUAGAUUGUGAGGUGGUUAUUAGACCUUGUGAGAUAUUUCUAUUCUGAGAGUGAGAUGGUUCUUUAUUCAACUACUACGUCCCAUCUGUCACAAUUUUCACAUGACCAAAAAAGUAAAGAUCUGUUUGACUAUGAUGGUUUAUUCAACUACUAUACGUCCCACAUUUAUAAACUACGAAUCAUGUGAAGCUAAAAGAGCCAAAUUUACCAUUAGCCUCACUGAGCCAAGCUUUGUUAAAACCCAAUAAAGCAACUCACAACCCACGGUUUUGUCAAAGAUUAAACGAAUGGAUAAUGCUUCUUACACUUUUUGAUAUGUAGAUCAUUUGCAACUUUGCAAUAUCGUGUGAAUGUGAUGUAUUUGACAGUUCAAAGUUCUUACACGUAACUGUUACAGAAAUAAUAUCACAUCAGAGGAAGAUGGUAACAAAAUGAUCUUUUAUUCUUAAUUCUUCGUAUACAAAACAAACUUCUCUUUUCCUGUAUGAAUAAAAGUUACUGACGUAUACAAACAAACUUCACUUUCAAGUAAAACAUGAAGUCGACAUGGUUUUACUCUCUUUUUUCAUGUACUAAGAGAUUGGUAACCAUCUUCCCGGUUCUGUCUCCUGUAUAUCACGGCGGAUAUUAGAACCACUACCGCUACCACCACUGUCACAGCCAAAAAUGCUAAGAAGCUCACGCUACUCGCAGGUGCCUACAAGGAAGUGACAUAUCACAUAUACUGACGUUAGUACUUACUCAUAUGGCAAUAUCUUCCAAACAGUACUACCGGGUGGUUACCUGAAAAAGAUUAGGCAAGGAGCUCUCUGGUUCAGGCAGCUGCUGAGAAACGACGAUGUAAAAGAGUCCCAUAACGCCGGUAUGACCAACGACAUUACUGUAAUUAACCUCCAAAGUGAAUGUCUCUCCAUAGUCCACUUUCACUGGAUCGGCAGGAUAGCAAGACGACAUUCCAACAAUGUAACCAGCUUCGUUUCCAGGUUCAACUCCAUUGCCAUACUUUGGUAUCGAAGUACAUAUUCCUUCACCGUUCUGUUCCACAACACAUGAGUGAAGAGUCUCAAAUCAUUUAAAGAGUUUCAACUUUAUGUUUUUGCAGUAGCCUUAACUAAA
Molecule: long non-coding RNA, 3274 nt
Filed under: Capsella rubella
Lineage: Eukaryota; Viridiplantae; Streptophyta; Magnoliopsida; Brassicales; Brassicaceae
Description: long non-coding RNA (CRUB_LNC001116)
Source: RNAcentral